Molecule: non-coding RNA, 114 nt
Filed under: Porphyromonas cangingivalis
Lineage: Bacteria; Pseudomonadati; Bacteroidota; Bacteroidia; Bacteroidales; Porphyromonadaceae
Description: TPP sequence
Rfam family: TPP riboswitch aptamer (THI element)
About the family: Vitamin B(1) in its active form thiamin pyrophosphate (TPP) is an essential coenzyme that is synthesised by coupling of pyrimidine and thiazole moieties in bacteria. The previously detected thiamin-regulatory element, thi box was extended, resulting in a new, highly conserved RNA secondary structure, the THI element, which is widely distributed in eubacteria and also occurs in some archaea.
Source: Rfam by way of RNAcentral
UCGGAAACUUAGGGGUGCUACGGUUUCUGCAGGUUUUGCAGAAGUAGUGGCUGAGAUUAGACCCUUUAACCUGAUCCGGAUAAUGCCGGCGUAGGUAAAGACCGUUCUUCUAUU